This 253-nucleotide ribosomal RNA is filed under the name uncultured prokaryote. RNAcentral's name for it is "partial 16S ribosomal RNA". It matches the Rfam family "Bacterial small subunit ribosomal RNA", at positions 525 to 777 of the family's 1533-position model. The record is from RNAcentral.
ACAGAGGUGGCAAGCGUUGUUCGGAAUUACUGGGCGUAAAGGGCGCGUAGGCGGCCUUCUAAGUCGGACGUGAAAGCCCCAGGCUUAACCUGGGAACUGCGUCCGAUACUGGCAGGCUUGAAUCCGGGAGAGGGAUGCGGAAUUCCAGGUGUAGCGGUGAAAUGCGUAGAUAUCUGGAGGAACACCGGUGGCGAAGGCGGCAUCCUGGACCGGCAUUGACGCUGAGGCGCGAAAGCCAGGGGAGCAAACGGGA